RNAcentral lists this long non-coding RNA (482 nucleotides) under Rosa chinensis. RNAcentral's name for it is "sRNA RchiOBHm_Chr2g0085781". The record is from RNAcentral. Lineage: Eukaryota; Viridiplantae; Streptophyta; Magnoliopsida; Rosales; Rosaceae.
GUUUUGGAUGAAAGAAAGCAGGGAAUCUUGCAAUUUCAAUUUCAAAAGUGAAGUAGAAUAAAACUUCUGGAUUCUGCCUUACAUGACAGAUUUUGUCUGACCACUUUGGUUGCAAUUUUUGCAUCCCUUGGAUUUUCAUUUAAUGCCAUGGAGAUUGGUGAAUGAGAUUCAUUGAGCUGCUAUGCAAGCUCUUGAUGAGCUCGAGUUAGAGCGAGUUUUAGGAUGAUACUGAAUGUUGGAUUAGCUUGGCAGUAUUGGUGGUUUGGUGCAAGAGUAACUUUAUUUGUUCUUGCCUCUCUAUUCCAGACAUCAUUCGCCAUAUGUAUCAAUCAGUUCAAAAUCCCUCUGUGAAUUUCAGUAUUGGUGGAUAGCAUACAGUCACAUCAUGAAAAGGUAAAUUAAGAUAUACUAAGGUCUCCCACUUCCAAUGUCAUGACCGAGACAGAAAUAGGAAGACUUUGAGAAAUACAGAGGAUGCUUAU